RNAcentral lists this ribosomal RNA (482 nucleotides) under uncultured bacterium. RNAcentral's name for it is "partial 16S ribosomal RNA". It matches the Rfam family "Bacterial small subunit ribosomal RNA", at positions 28 to 523 of the family's 1533-position model. The record is from RNAcentral.
GACGAACGCUGGCGGCGCGCCUAACACAUGCAAGUCGAACGAGCGAGAGGAAGCUUGCUUUCUCGAGCGAGUGGCGAACGGGUGAGUAACGCGUGAGGAACCUGCCUCAAAGAGGGGAACAACAGUUGGAAACGACUGCUAAUACCGCAUAAGCCCACGGGUCGGCAUCGACCAGAGGGAAAAGGAGCAAUCCGCUUUGAGAUGGCCUCGCGUACGAUUAGCUGGUUGGUGAGGUAACGGCCCACCAAGGCGACGAUCGGUAGCCGGACUGAGAGGUUGAACGGCCACAUUGGGACUGAGACACGGCCCAGACUCCUACGGGAGGCAGCAGUGGGGAAUAUUGCACAAUGGGGGAAACCCUGAUGCAGCGACGCCGCGUGGAGGAAGAAGGUCUUCGGAUUGUAAACUCCUGUUGUUGAGGAAGAUAAUGACGGUACUCAACAAGGAAGUGACGGCUAACUACGUGCCAGCAGCCGCAGUAA